UGGUGAUGUUGGUGUCUUCAUCAAAACCGUGUCAAGGUCAGGAGCAAGAUCUUCUUCACAGAUUGAUCAUGUUUAUAUACCAUGUUCGCACCAUCAGACUUGAUAAAGCCUUCAUGUUGUGUCACAUAGACACUCUCAAGAAAAUUUUCAUUAAGGAAAGGUGUCUUGACAUCAUUGAAAAUUUCAUAAUCAUGAUAUGCUAUAUAUCAAGUAAGAUCCUAGCGGAUUUAAGCAUAACAAUAGGGGAAAUGUUUCAUCAUAGUCUAUACCAUGAACUCCGUUGAAACGAUUAGCCAUUGGUUGCCUUAAAGGUAUUUACAUUACAUGUCAUAAAAGUCUUCUUUUUGAAGCUCCACUUGCACCCAAUAGGCUUUAACCCAUUAGGUGGUUAAGGAAUGUCUAUACCUUAUUAGUGUAAAUGGUAUCCACCUCAGAUC
Molecule: long non-coding RNA, 437 nt
Filed under: Lupinus angustifolius (narrow-leaved blue lupine)
Lineage: Eukaryota; Viridiplantae; Streptophyta; Magnoliopsida; Fabales; Fabaceae
Description: long non-coding RNA (LANG_LNC003579)
Source: RNAcentral